Long non-coding RNA from Acinonyx jubatus (cheetah), 818 nucleotides. RefSeq lists it as uncharacterized. The transcript has 3 exons. The record is from RefSeq and is a predicted model, not a curated record. Lineage: Eukaryota; Metazoa; Chordata; Mammalia; Carnivora; Felidae.
AUCAUGUACCUCCAAUUUUAUUGUCAGCCACCAGGGUCUCUGGAGUCCUUCUGCCACAUUUAUUGAUGUCUUGGGAACAAGUGCCUGUUCCUAACCUAUCCCACUAUGUCGUGUGUCAAACAAUAGCCAAAGUAUGGAAAGAGCCCAAAUGUCCAUCGAUGGAUGAAUGGAUAAAGAAGAUAUGGUCACCACCCACAGGCUGGCCCCACCAUUGACGCUUUACUCUGGAGUUGAGGGAUGUAACCUCUCCAAGUGAAUCACCACAAACCAAAAAACCAAAAACAGAAGCAGAAGAAAUACGUCCUAACUCAUUCUGCAAAGUCAGCAUUACCAUAAUACUAAAACUGGACAAAGAUAUUAUAAGAAAGAAAAAUGAGAGACCAAAAUCUGUCCUGAACAGAGAUGCAGACUCUCAGUGAGAUAUCAGCAAAUCAAAAUCAACGUGUAAAAAGAAGUAUAAAUCACAACUGAGUGAGACUGACACCAGGUGUGCAGGGCUAGAUCAACAUUCUGAAAUGAAGGCCUGUCCCAUGACAUCAACAGGCUGAAAUAGAAAAAUCAUAUGACCAUUUUAGCCAAUGCAGAAAAAACAUUUUACAAAAUUCAAUACUCACGAUUGAAAAAAAAGAAAUCCCAGAAAAUUAGCAGUAGAGGAGCAUCUUCUCCAGUUGACAGAAAACAACUAUGAAACACCUACAGUUAAUAUUUUCCUUAAUGGUAAGAAGCUAGAGGCUUUCCCCCGAAGAUUGGAAACAUCAUACUGUAAUUCCCAUAGAAUUUAAUUACACAAGAAAAAGAAAUAAAUUUUCUUUUAUUUU